Long non-coding RNA from Capra hircus (goat), 797 nucleotides. The record is from Ensembl. Lineage: Eukaryota; Metazoa; Chordata; Mammalia; Artiodactyla; Bovidae.
CUUCUUCUUGCCCUUUUUUUUUUUUUUUUUAAGAUUUAAAAUGUUUUAUUUAUUAUUAUUAUUUUUUUAAAUUUUAAAAUCUUUAAUUCUUACAUGCGUUCCCAAACAUGAACUCCCCUCCCACCUCCCUCCCCAUAACAUCUCUCUGGGUCAUCCCCAUGCACCAGCUCCAAGCAUGCUGUAUGCUGCGUCAGACAUAGACUGGCGAUUCGAUUCUUACAUGAUAGUAUACAUGUUACAAUGCCAUUCUCCCAAAUCAUCCCACCCUCUCCCUCUCCCUCUGAGUCCAAAAGUCCAUUAUACACAUCUGUGUCUCUUUCCCUGUCUUGCAUACAGGGUCGUCAUUGCCAUCUUCCUAAAUUCCAUAUAUAUGUGUUCCUACCCUCUUUUCCUUCUCUUCUCCUAACGUUGUUUUUUCCUCUUCUUCUAGGUUCCUGAACAAGACCUUCUGUUCUCAGAAUAUGGGAGGUAUCAGCACAGUAGAAAAUGAAGCUGACCAUCUCUCAGGAGGCAGACUGAAAUACUGUCUAAUCCUGGAGAAGCUACACCGCUCAAUAUGGAGGUUAGGAGAAGAGCCUAGAACACUCUUCCAGCUGCAAUGGGACCCCUUAAAGACACUCUGGUUCAAUAUCCAGGGUCCUGAGGCUGCUGUGGCGUGGAAGUGGAAUAUCAUCAGGGCACCAACUCAACCUGGAGAGAAACUCUAUGAAUAUAAUCUAUGUGGAAAAGCCACCAGAAGAAAUUCUAACCAUAUUCCACCCAAGAGAAAUUACACAGGAGAGAAAUGCAAUGAAUAG